Molecule: ribosomal RNA, 468 nt
Filed under: uncultured bacterium
Lineage: Bacteria
Description: partial 16S ribosomal RNA
Rfam family: Bacterial small subunit ribosomal RNA
Source: RNAcentral
GAUGAACGCUGGCGGCGUGCUUAACACAUGCAAGUCGAACGGUGAAGGCGGAGCUUGCUCUGCUGGAUCAGUGGCGAACGGGUGAGUAACACGUGAGCAAUCUGCCCCUGACUCUGGGAUAAGCGCUGGAAACGGCGUCUAAUACUGGAUACGAGCUGCGAAGGCAUCUUCAGCAGCUGGAAAGAACUUCGGUCAGGGAUGAGCUCGCGGCCUAUCAGCUUGUUGGUGAGGUAACGGCUCACCAAGGCGUCGACGGGUAGCCGGCCUGAGAGGGUGACCGGCCACACUGGGACUGAGACACGGCCCAGACUCCUACGGGAGGCAGCAGUGGGGAAUAUUGCACAAUGGGCGAAAGCCUGAUGCAGCAACGCCGCGUGAGGAACGACGGCCUUCGGGUUGUAAACCUCUUUUAGCAGGGAAGAAGCGAAAGUGACGGUACCUGCAGAAAAAGCGCCGGCUAACUACGUG